This is a long non-coding RNA of Cloeon dipterum, 1368 nucleotides long. RefSeq lists it as uncharacterized. The transcript has 4 exons. The record is from RefSeq and is a predicted model, not a curated record. NCBI's taxonomy places the organism in Eukaryota, Metazoa, Arthropoda, Insecta, Ephemeroptera, Baetidae.
UAUGAAGUACGGGGUGGACGGUGUGUCGCUGGCGUCGCUUGUCGCUUGUUUUUGAGGCCAGUCGCCAUUUUGGAAGUUGCGUUAACUCUGUCUCAGUCCGCGGCCGUGCCGUGAUCGAGGAUUAAGGGGCCUGCGAGGCGGCCGGCAACCACCAGACGGCCACCGAUGGCCGUGGCCGGCCAUGAACGGCGUGUAGGACAAGUCGGAGGGCCCCGCUCAGCCAGAUUCUGAUUCCCAGGGUGCGAGGCUGAAUUCUCCGAAGUGCAUCGUAAGGCUGACUUGCAUGGACAUCCGCAAAUUACCGCAGCAGCUUCCUCCGCCAGCAGCACAUGCAGGUGCAACCUUCGACCCUGCGGCCUCCUCCCAUCGCUGAGAGCGAUUCUUUCGCAUGGAUGUCCUGCAGAACAUACCCUUGCCACCAGCCGCACGAGGGGCUCUAUUUUGAAGACAGAUAUAAUGCCUGGCUCUUCCUCCGAGUGGCUUUGGCAACAAGGUGCUGAACGUUGAGGGGACGGACGUUGUGUAGCUUGAGUUCGCCGUUGAGGAUUAAUUGUUUACGAGCGAUUGUCCAUCGCCAACGUCGUCCGUGUCUUCGACUUAGUCGACCAACUGCUCGGGAGCAAUGGGCUGCAUCCUCGGCGCUUGCGGCCGUGACGUCGGCCUUUUUGGCAGUGCUGCCGUCCAAUUCUCAUCCGCUCGGGCGAUUGUCCGCAAACCCUGAAGCAGCGGGAACGUCGGGAACGUGCAUCCUUCGCACUAUCUCAUCCCCAACAGCCUUCGGCAGCACGAACAACGCGUCAACGUCAGGCCGCCUCCCAGCUUGGCCGGCGUCAUGAAGGCGGAGCCGCCCAGCAUCAAGGUUACGCCCCGCCACCAGGGUUCCAUCCAGAAAGUCAGACGCGAUUGAGUCUCUCUCCAAGAGCGUGAAGCAGGCUCUAAGCUGUGGUGACGCGGAGAGCAAGUUUGCCGUUCCCGAACCGACGCUAAGCCUGGCUAAAAAGCUGGUCAAGACUGCGGUUGGCGAGAGAACUUCGUUCGGCGACUCCGCGCUGUCCGACCGCACUCUAUGGUCAGACCAGCGUUGGCGUUGGCUGCAGCACUUGCUUGACAAAGUGCUCAGCAAGUGCAGCCGCCACUUACGUUGGCUCCUUGAGCGCGUCUCCUUGUCUUCGCUCGAGAAGCAGGUCGCCGAGCUGACCAUUGCCAAGUCAGCCACUCUCUCAAAUCACCGUUAGACUCGCAGGCAUGGCACUGGCAGAUACAGGAGGAUGUGUGCUCUGUUGGCCUUCGGUCGUAAUUUAGUUGCCCGGGACCCGGCCAACGACCAUUAGGGGACUGUCGAGGACCACGGCUGACCCGCGGCCACAC